AGUGAACGCUGGCGGUAGGCCUAACACAUGCAAGUCGAACGGCAGCACAGUAAGAGCUUGCUCUUACGGGCGGCACGUGGGGGACGGUGGCGGAAUACUCGGAAUUAUACUUUUUCGGGGGGGCUAAUGUCGGAAAAUUUCCGCUAAUCCAGCAUACAACUUACGGGUGAAGGCCGGGGUUCUUCGAACUUGGCGGGAUGGAAUAAGCCGACGUCGGAUAAGCUAGUUGGCGGGUUAAAGGCCAACAAAGGCGACGAUCGUUAGCGGGUCUGAGAGGAUGAUCAGCCACACUGGAACUGAGACACGGUCCAGACUCCGACGGGAGGCAGCAGUGGGGAAUAUUGGACGAGGGGGGCGAGCCUGAUCCAGCCAUACCGCGUGGGGGAAGAAGGACUUCGGGUGGUAGAGCCAUUUUGUUGGGAAAGAAAAGCAGCAGGUUAAUACCCCGCUGUUCUGACGGUACCCAAAGAAUAAGCACCGGCUAACUUCGUG
This 492-nucleotide ribosomal RNA is filed under the name uncultured bacterium. RNAcentral describes it as "partial 16S ribosomal RNA". It matches the Rfam family "Bacterial small subunit ribosomal RNA", at positions 29 to 507 of the family's 1533-position model. The record is from RNAcentral.